ACAUCUCAUCUUCCCAUCCCACCUAUAUUCUUGAUCCAGUCGUAGCCGUCGGAAUAGAGCUUCGACGCGCGACCUCAUCCUGCCAAGAUGGGCCUCGCACCUCGAUGCUGCGCCUGGACGACAGCGCUUGGCUGACGCCUCGUAUCGGCUUUGCCCCUCAGUCGUGCAGCCCGUCGUCCAGCCCCUGAGGCACUCCUCCCUUUGCCCUGGCAUGAAGAACGCCGAUCUGUAGAUCCCGGUUGGCGUGACUGCGACAAGAGAAAAUAAGAGGGGCUCCUUGCGGCUGGGCUCUACUUGCCUCUACCAAAAUAUUUUCUUUGCUCAUGUCCCCGUGCACUCUCAAUCAUGCCGAAACAUCACUAGCGCGGUAGGAAGCUUGUGGGAUUUCAUUGCAAUGCGCAAGCUGAACUGCUCUAGCAUUGGCGUCAAUGUUCUCGUCAGCAAGAACUGAACGCAAGAUUAGUUAGCAUCCAUGCAUCAGAGGGAGUAUUCCACAUGCAAGUAACACUAAUGGCCAUAGUUAGUGAUCAUAUCUGAUCUGGCAAAGGUACCCAUUCAUCAUUUGUUUGUGAGACCAUAUAACUGAAGUGAGACUUUUACCAUUGAUUUGUUGGAGAUGCUUUAUGAUAUGUCGUGCUUCACAACUGAAACAUACUUCACAGCCUCCUUCUCCUGCCCGUAGGCAAGCCGUAUCUACACAGAAGGGGCUCGCACUAGAGUACUGGAGCUGCGACGUCCUGGCCACUCAUGCUUGCAGCUGCCACCGCAAUCUAUGCAUAUGCAUUGAGCAUCAAACAUAUAAUCCUGGUCUUGGCACGACCGCCUAAUGUGAGCUUGGCACAACCAAUGUUGGCAAGGCACGCGAUGAAUGUCAAUUCCCCAGUGCAUGCUUGACGAUACUUUUGAUCUGUAUGUUUGUCGUGCUUAUGGCGAUCUCCUGGUCUCCGCCCGCCUGCCUCUAUCCUUUCUAUGGGUGUGAUGCGAUGGUGAAACUCCCUGGUCCUCACAAGGAGAUAGCCCAUUGGACCAUGGAAGUGAGGUUCCAGUUAAGUCUAUAAGUCGAGGCUACCUGCAUCUAAUUUUGGUUUUCUGUUCAACCCUAAUAGGAAAGAUGAGCUUGCUUGGAAUAAGACUCCAUGGGAAGGGCAUCAACUUGAAUGGUUUGGACGUCAAAUAACUAGAAUUUGGUCAUUUCAUGCACAUAUUGUGCUUAUGAUUUUACUGUUUUUCUGUGUAAUGAGCAUUGCUCUGUAAGCUACAUAAAGUCUUAUUUUUUAUCUAUAUUCGCAUACUACUAUGUUGCAAACUUGUA
Aegilops tauschii subsp. strangulata is the source of this 1312-nucleotide non-coding RNA. Lineage: Eukaryota; Viridiplantae; Streptophyta; Magnoliopsida; Poales; Poaceae. The record is from RefSeq and is a predicted model, not a curated record.